GGAAUCUUAGACAAUGGGGGAAACCCUGAUCUAGCCAUGCCGCGUGAGCGAUGAAGGCCUUAGGGUUGUAAAGCUCUUUCAACGGUGAAGAUAAUGACGGUAACCGUAGAAGAAGCCCCGGCUAACUUCGUGCCAGCAGCCGCGGUAAUACGAAGGGGGCUAGCGUUGUUCGGAAUUACUGGGCGUAAAGCGCACGUAGGCGGAUUGUUUAGUUAGAGGUGAAAUCCCGGGGCUCAACCCCGGAACUGCCUUUAAUACUGGCAAUCUAGAGUUCGAGAGAGGUGAGUGGAAUUCCGAGUGUAGAGGUGAAAUUCGUAGAUAUUCGGAGGAACACCAGUGGCGAAGGCGGCUCACUGGCUCGAUACUGACGCUGAGGUGCGAAAGCGUGGGGAGCAAAC
This 398-nucleotide ribosomal RNA is filed under the name uncultured bacterium. Its description in RNAcentral is "bacterial SSU rRNA". It matches the Rfam family "Bacterial small subunit ribosomal RNA", at positions 358 to 773 of the family's 1533-position model. The record is from RNAcentral.